This is a non-coding RNA of Pelobates cultripes (western spadefoot toad), 562 nucleotides long. NCBI's taxonomy places the organism in Eukaryota, Metazoa, Chordata, Amphibia, Anura, Pelobatidae. The record is from the annotation of a GenBank genome assembly.
GAUGCUGGUCUGACAUUGCAACAGCUAGUCAGGUGCUUUCAUGUAUAAAAAGGGGUUUUGAUUCAAAUAUAAUUUUGCCUCUUUACAAACCAAUGGUUAGACCCCACCUUGGAUAUGCCGUGCAAUUUUGGGCACCAGUUUUAAAGAAGGACAUUGCCGAGCUAGAAAAAGUGCAGAGGAGAGCUUCAAAAUGAGUAAGGGGGAUAUAAGAAAAAGGAAAAUGGAAUUGUUUUCUUUAGAAAAAAAGUGCCUGAGAGGGGAAAUGUUAGCACUAUAUAAAUAUAUACAGGGUCAGUACAAACCGCUAUGUGCUAACCUGUUUAUUACUAGGAAUAUACACCAGACAAGAGGUCGUCCAUUGAGACUGGAAGAAAGGGGAUUUCACUUACAGCAGAGGAAAGGGUUCUUCACAGUAAGAACAAUAAAGAUGUGGAAUUCUCUGCUUAAAGAGGUUGUUUUAUCAGAUUCUAUAGAUACAUUUUAAACCGCUUGGGAGAUUUUUUGCAUAAACAUAAUAUUUAAGGAUAUAAUUGACAUGUAUGCAAACAGGCUGUCGAUCUAA